This 235-nucleotide ribosomal RNA is filed under the name uncultured bacterium. Its description in RNAcentral is "partial 16S ribosomal RNA". It matches the Rfam family "Bacterial small subunit ribosomal RNA", at positions 103 to 334 of the family's 1533-position model. The record is from RNAcentral.
CGGGUGAGUAACACGUAUGCAAUCCACCUGUAACAGGGGGAUAACCCGGAGAAAUCCGGACUAAUACCCCAUAAUAUGGGCGCUCCGCAUGGAGAGUCCAUUAAAGAGAGCAAUCUUGGUUACAGACGAGCAUGCGCUCCAUUAGCCAGUUGGCGGGGUAACGGCCCACCAAAGCGACGAUGGAUAGGGGUUCUGAGAGGAAGGUCCCCCACAUUGGAACUGAGACACGGCCCAG